This 445-nucleotide ribosomal RNA is filed under the name uncultured bacterium. RNAcentral describes it as "partial 16S ribosomal RNA". It matches the Rfam family "Bacterial small subunit ribosomal RNA", at positions 354 to 796 of the family's 1533-position model. The record is from RNAcentral.
GUGAGGAAUAUUGCGCAAUGGAGGCAACUCUGACGCAGCCAUGCCGCGUGCAGGAAGAAGGCGCUACGCGUUGUAAACUGCUUUUAACCGGGAAGAAACCCCAGGACGUGUCCUGGGUUGACGGUACCGGAGGAAUAAGCACCGGCUAACUUCGUGCCAGCAGCCGCGGUAAUACGAAGGGUGCAAGCGUUAUCCGGAUUCAUUGGGUUUAAAGGGUGCGUAGGCGGAGCGUUAAGUCAGUGGUGAAAUCCUGCAGCUUAACUGUAGACUUGCCAUUGAUACUGGCGCUCUUGAGUGCGCUUGAAGUGGGCGGAAUGUGCCGUGUAGCGGUAAAAUGCUUAGAUAUGGCACAGAACACCAAUUGCGAAGGCAGCUCACUAAGGCGAUACUGACGCUGAGGCACGAAAGCGUGGGGAUCGAACAGGAUUAGAAACCCUGGUAGUCC